Molecule: ribosomal RNA, 531 nt
Filed under: Triticum aestivum (bread wheat)
Lineage: Eukaryota; Viridiplantae; Streptophyta; Magnoliopsida; Poales; Poaceae
Description: partial small subunit ribosomal RNA
Source: RNAcentral
AGCACUUCUUUUACAAAUAUGGUCUGGGAGACAGUUUGGAAGCUAGACUUUCCCAGCAAGGUAAGGAUAUUCAUAUGGCGGGUGCUUCAUGGCUUGAUCACUGCUAUGGCCGUACUAGCUCGUAGACACAUUAAAGUUUCUCCUAUGUGCCCGGUCUACAAGAAGGACCUUGAAGAUAUGAAACAUCUGCUUUUUACUUGCGGACGAGCUUGCGUAGUAUGGCGGGCUCUCGGUCUGGAUGACAUCAUACAACAAGCUUUGUCUGUUGACAGAUUUGGAUUGGUGGUCCUUGAAGAUAUCCGUCAUCGCCCUCGCGGGUGUUCACCUGUUCUUGGACAACUUGACCUUCAUGAAACUAUUGUAGUGGGGGCGUGGUAUAUUUGGUGGGAGAGAAGGGAGGUGUGUAAGGGAGAAUUCAUCAAACCCCUGAAAAGUACCGCGUUUGCCAUUCAUGCAAUCAUAGCAAAUACCUCCAUCAGGUCAGACCGUGCUCAGGUAGUAAAGGGUGGAUGGGAGAAAACUUGCCACUGA